RNAcentral lists this ribosomal RNA (636 nucleotides) under Triticum aestivum (bread wheat). RNAcentral describes it as "partial small subunit ribosomal RNA". Lineage: Eukaryota; Viridiplantae; Streptophyta; Magnoliopsida; Poales; Poaceae. The record is from RNAcentral.
AUGGAUGUCAGGUCUAUUGUCCUAGCACUGGAUGUCCGGUACACACCGAAAAUCCGGUCCCCGGGCACCAGUGGCUAUGUGAUUUGGGCUGGACUUAUGGUUGGCACCGGUUGUCCCGUGGCUCAAUGUUCCACCAGAUGUCCGGUACUCCACGGGAUGUUCGGUCCCUCCUGCAUCUUCAUGUACAUGACUUUCAAACACUGGAUGUUUGGUACACACCGGAUGUCUGGUCCAUCACCCUGGCUCUGGAUGAGCAUACAAGAAAUCCGGCCAGAACCCAACAGAAGCUAUGUUAUCCGAGCAGGAUGUCCAGUAUGCACCAGAUGUUCGGUAGCUGAAUGCACCACUGGAUGUCCAGUACUUUACCGGAUGUCCGGUCCCCCACUAUGUUCUUUGCCUACGAUGUUCAUAUCGCUGUGCAUGUCUUCCAGCCACCAGGUGUCCAGUGAUACAACGGAUGUUCGGUACUUAACAACCACUUUACACUCAAACGGCUCUAUUCGGAGCUACACUAUAUAUACCCCUCUCCCAUUCCGGGAGUUGGUUGACCACUUCAUUCAAAGCAACCCUAAAACACCCAAGUGCUCCCUCUCACUCCCUCCUUCACCAAAUCUUAGAUCCCGGAGAGAUUUCUGA